This 518-nucleotide long non-coding RNA is filed under the name Sus scrofa (pig). Its description in RNAcentral is "lncRNA (ENSSSCG00015018602.1)". The record is from RNAcentral. Lineage: Eukaryota; Metazoa; Chordata; Mammalia; Artiodactyla; Suidae.
AUGGUGAUCACCCAGGUACAUUACCCUUAUUCUCCUUCAGGGAAGAUCGUGCUGCUGAAGCGUGGCCCCUUCAGCCAAGGUCCUGGCCUCCCCAGAUUUCCUGCCUCCAGGGAUGAGCAAAGGUGCAGAAGUAUGAAGACCCACCUGGAUCCCAAGGCUGAGGAGUGUGGAUCAGAGACCUGGAGGGGGAAUUUGAAAACAGUCAGCCAAGAGGGCAUGAAAGGCCUGAAAUUCUGCUCACAUUCUGCUCACCAACCCACAUACCCUGGCAUGGGCUGUGCCCAUUAGGAAGAAGAGGCACCUUUCAAGUCUGCAGAUGGUUACCAUCCAGUCAUAAUCCUUUCAUUCAUGCGAGUAUGACUGCAUCUACUUCAAGACAGUACCAUUUAGUGUUCCUUUUUAAAUAAGGAAAUGUUCAACAUUAUAAAGCAACUCCUGUAUAUCAUCAUUCACUUUGAACAAUGACCAUAUUUGAGGGGGCAUCUUUUCAUUUCACAGGGAGGCAUUGUUCUAUAGGC